RNAcentral lists this transfer RNA (76 nucleotides) under Lentisphaerota bacterium. Its description in RNAcentral is "Lentisphaerae bacterium tRNA-Arg". It matches the Rfam family "tRNA". From Rfam's summary of the family: Transfer RNA (tRNA) molecules are approximately 80 nucleotides in length. Their secondary structure includes four short double-helical elements and three loops (D, anti-codon, and T loops). The record is from RNAcentral. Lineage: Bacteria; Pseudomonadati; Lentisphaerota.
GCCCGGGUAGCUCAGGGGAUAGAGCAGUGGUUUCCUAAACCAUUGGUCGGAGGUUCGAAUCCUCUCCCGGGUGCCA